GCCGCUUUUGUUUAUACUAGGAAGCCUUCCGUGCCGGGCUUUGACUUCCACUCUCACUUUUUGUUGUUGCUUUUUUUCAUUUCUUAAACAUUUCUCUAGUUUCUGUAGCGUCGAACUCCUUUAGAUUUCUGACAGGAUUUCUUUCCCUCUGUCAUUUAGCUGAAGUCCGGCUAACUUUUUUCUUGUUUAGAAACUUUUAUACCUUUAAGCAUUAUCCUUCGACAAAAGACUGAUGGUACUUCUCCCCUCAGUUCGGUAGAAAGGGGUUGCUGAAAGGUGCCCCCUCUUCUAUCCACAACUAGAAGGAGAGGUACUUCUACGUCCGAUGUCCGACCCUGAUGCUGGGGUUGCCCCCCUAGGGCUCCCUGAGAGACUCCGUCCGUCGGGCUUCUAGCCUGGGAAAGGACGAUCUUGAAGCCUCCAAUAAACUCAAGACUUAUCCAACUCCUCUCCUCUCCGACCUUCUGAAGGAGCAAGUUUUAUUCAAUGUCGGCCUGAGCCCUCUCGACCCUGUCGGUAUUUUUUCUUUCUCAAGUCGUUCACUGCUUCCUCUUUCUCUUAUUCUGUUUCUAAGUUG
Molecule: long non-coding RNA, 577 nt
Filed under: Elaeis guineensis (African oil palm)
Lineage: Eukaryota; Viridiplantae; Streptophyta; Magnoliopsida; Arecales; Arecaceae
Description: long non-coding RNA (EGUI_LNC012835)
Source: RNAcentral